Molecule: long non-coding RNA, 207 nt
Filed under: Carica papaya (papaya)
Lineage: Eukaryota; Viridiplantae; Streptophyta; Magnoliopsida; Brassicales; Caricaceae
Description: long non-coding RNA (CPAP_LNC015930)
Source: RNAcentral
AGUUAGAAAGAUAGAAUUAGAAACAAAAAUAGCACUCACACGCGCAAACAUGUCUUUUACCUUUUUAGGCUCGCUGUAAUCACGAGCAAAAUAUCCCUUGUUACGAUAGUUAUAGCACUUCACUUUUGCUAUAUUUUUCUUCUUGAAAGGAUGUUUUCCUUCCUCUUUUUGGUGAAACUUUCUUUUCUUGUUUGCUUUGAAACCCCU